AACAGAACCAAUGAGGUUUAUCAUAGCCAAUGAGGUUUAUCCGAGGCACGAUUAUUGCUAAUUGAAAACUUUUCCCAAUAACCGCCAUGAUGACUUGCAAUAUAGUCAGCAUUGGCAAUUUUUGACAGUCCCUAUGGGGA
Molecule: small nuclear RNA, 140 nt
Filed under: Microcebus murinus (gray mouse lemur)
Lineage: Eukaryota; Metazoa; Chordata; Mammalia; Primates; Cheirogaleidae
Description: U4 spliceosomal RNA (ENSMICG00000047354.1)
Rfam family: U4 spliceosomal RNA
About the family: U4 small nuclear RNA (U4 snRNA) is a component of the major U2-dependent spliceosome.
Source: Rfam by way of RNAcentral